CGAAGAAGCAAACUCGUCAUUAUCUUCUUCUUCCCUCUUUCCCUAUUUUCCUGAUAAUUUCUCUCUGAAAUUCGUUGUCUCUGAAUCAAACCGAAAGGAACCCUAAAAUCAAGACAAUUAUACGUGAAGAUGGUGAAGCCAAGACGUGGAAAGAAGAAGGAGAAGAAAAAGAAACCAGAAAUUGAAAGGAUAAACAGAGUCGCCGGUGGUUAAAGGAUGCUUUACCUCUUGAGACUACACUUGUGCCUGAGUCAAAGAUUGAACCUGAUAAUGUGAACAAAGAGUUGAGCAAGAGUGCUGAUGGAAAGGAUGGCGCCAAACAUUUCUCUGGGGCAUCUGAGAUCCCUCGAUCGGGAUCAUUUUUUGAGCACGAUGAACGUGGUAGUGCGGCACAAGGUGGCCGAAGCUUUGGUCGCAGAGAUAGUAAUGGAUCUUGCUUUGCAUUUAUCUCAAUAGAUUAUGGACAUGUGAGCAACCCGAAGGAUAGGUCAAGUGAUAGGAAUGGAAGAGACAGGAGAACACAAUUCGGCACAAAGAGGUGACAAGGCCCAACAUUACCUCCAGACCCAAAAGGAAAGAAGAAAGCAACGAAGUAUAUGAAUCUUUAGAUGUACCUAUUUUAUGUUUGUGUUUAUGAUGAAUUUCUGGAAUGUUAUGUUAAGAUGAGACAAUGGAGUUUCUGAAAUAGGUAAGUCUUUAUUAAACUAUUGCAGUUACAUUUGCAGAUUUUUCUUGAAUUCCUUGCAUAUUUCAUGUACUUUUCCCUUGA
Molecule: long non-coding RNA, 769 nt
Organism: Papaver somniferum (opium poppy)
Lineage: Eukaryota; Viridiplantae; Streptophyta; Magnoliopsida; Ranunculales; Papaveraceae
Exons: 4
Source: RefSeq, a predicted model, not a curated record